UGAGGAACAUGAACGUUUCGGCGGGGGAUAGCCGGCCCAACGGACCGGGUAAUACCGCGUACGACCACUCUGGGACAUCCCUAGGUGGUGAAAGCAGCAAUGCGCCGAUGGAGUGCCUCGCGGCCUAUCAGCUAGUUGGUGAGGUAACGGCUCACCUAGGCAACGGACGGGUAGCUGGUCUGAGAGGAUGACCGGCCACAUUGGGACUGAGACACGGCCAGACUCCGUACGGGAGCAG
Molecule: ribosomal RNA, 238 nt
Filed under: uncultured bacterium
Lineage: Bacteria
Description: partial 16S ribosomal RNA
Rfam family: Bacterial small subunit ribosomal RNA
Source: RNAcentral